CACCCUCCGGCCCGCGCUCCCCUCUCCCAUUCAUCCCGCCGCCUUAUCGACCCGCGGCCGACCCCACGCGGCCAGGCGCCCCCGCCCGCUGCCCUCUCCUCUCCCAGCCCGGCUUCCCCCGCGGGGGCUGUCAUCGAGCUUCUGGCACGGCCGGAUCCUGCCCCGGGGGAGGAGGGAGCAGGGCCGGGGGCGGGAUCCAGCCCUGUCCUUGCAGGCCUGGGUUCGGAGCCCAGCUGCCGGGAAUGGUUUCCAGAUCUCCCUGAGCCUCAGUUUCCUCAUCUGUAAACCGGGUGGUGGUAGCUUCGUCCACCUCUUUGAGAAGACAGCAGAAGAGGCGUCCUGAGAAGGCAUGCGGUUAGCCUUUGGUCACGGAGGCCUUUGCCCUUGCAAAAAAAGUAAUCUUCAGCCCUGUUCCUAGUACCAGCCGCUCGCAGCUGCACAGCGCCUCCUGAAUGUGUGAACCAAAAGUCAGGGUUCCAAGAAGAAAGAGCAUCUGCCACCCCCACCCCUACCCCAGGUCUUGUAGAGUAUAAGACAGAGGUUCCCAGCCCUGAGAUACUGGCAGGCAUCAGGCAAGCCGAUACCUCCCUCCACUCCCAGUCACCAGCACUCACCCCACAGGCUGACAGUCCAAGCAGAACUUGCUGGCAGCUGCUGGUGGGUUUAGAGGGUUUAGCUGAUGUGAGAGUCAGGGCCCUGGGCAGUGUUUGCGACAGAAAUGACAGUAGACACCCAGCGUUGCAGAACCCCAGAUCUGGGAGGACUUUGGAGAUUACCCAGACCAACUACCCCCCGUCUUGUUUUACAGUUGGGCAAAAUGAGGCCCAGAAAGGGGAAGGAGAUGGGGCUAAGAUGCGUCACCAGCUGGUGGUAGAGCCUAGAUGGGACCAUAGCGCUGUGCUUCCCAUUCAGGUGCUGGUCACCCCACUCUUUCAUCUGUGGAAUUAUCUGUAUGAUCAAGUUUGGGGCUGGGGGCAGGGCAACCAUGGUUAGGCAGGGGCCACUGAUGCCAGACUGCCAGCUUUCAAAUACUUCUAAGUGAAGUUCUUCUCACAGAGCCUUGGCUUCUUUAUGUGUUAAGCAAUGAGGAUAAUAACAGACCCUGGGCCGAGCAUGGUGGUUCAUGCCUGUAAUCCCAGCACUUUGGGAGGCCAAGGUGGCUGGAUCACUUGAGGUCAGGAGUUUAAGACCAACCUAGCCAACAUAGUGAAACCCCAUCUCUACUAAAAAUACAAAAAUUAUCUGGACGUGGUGGCGGGCACCCGUAAUCCCAUCUACCUGGGAGGCUGAGGCAAAAGAAUUACUUGAACCCGGGAGGCGGAGGUUGCAGUGAGCAGAGAUUACACUACUGUGCUCCAGCUUGGGCGACAGAACAAGACUCCAUCUAGAAAAUAAAAAUAAAAAUAAAAAAAUAAGUAA
This is a long non-coding RNA of Symphalangus syndactylus (siamang), 1419 nucleotides long. RefSeq lists it as uncharacterized. Lineage: Eukaryota; Metazoa; Chordata; Mammalia; Primates; Hylobatidae. The record is from RefSeq and is a predicted model, not a curated record.